AACGAACGCUGGCGGCGUGCCUAACACAUGCAAGUCGAGGGAGAAAGGGAGCUUCGGCUCCCGAGUAAACCGGCGCACGGGUGAGUAAUACGUAGGUAACGUACCUUCGAGUCUGGGAUAACCAGUCGAAAGACUGGCUAAUACCGGAUACGACCGAGGGGGCUUCGGCUCUCACGGUGAAAGAUGGCCUCUGCUUGCACGCUAUCACUCGAGGAGCGGCCUGCGCACCAUUAGCUAGUUGGUGAGGUAACGGCUCACCAAGGCUGAGAUGGUUAGCUGGUCUGAGAGGAUGGCCAGCCACACUGGGACUGAGACACGGCCCAGACUCCUACGGGAGGCAGCAGUGGGAAUAUUGCGCAAUGGGCGAAAGCCUGACGCAGCGACG
Molecule: ribosomal RNA, 385 nt
Filed under: uncultured bacterium
Lineage: Bacteria
Description: bacterial SSU rRNA
Rfam family: Bacterial small subunit ribosomal RNA
Source: RNAcentral